AUGUGGGUUGUUCCCGAUUGGCCAGGACCAAUCCUCGACGACAGUCAGGACCAAUCCCCUCCCGAAAACCUAGCACGCUCGGGGCCAAUCCUCUCCGUCCUCGAGCCCCUCUUCUUCUCCCUCCACGCCAUCUCGCCGUUCCCAUCUCGCCUCCCUCGCGCUCGCACCGCCGCCUUCUCUCCCCGGUGCUCGAGCUGUAGCAGCUGGGGCGCCGGUCCUCGAUCUUCGCGCCGCCACCUCUCCUCCUCUCUCUCGCCCAUGCCGCCACUGUUGCAAGGAGCAGGGGAGAUAGGCGACGAGGACAAGAAGCAGCAGGCUGGUCGCGGUGGGCUUGAGGUGCUGGGAGGACGGAGGAGUCCAUCGUGGUUCGUCAUGGAGGCGGCGCCGCCGGCCAGGGGACAUCGUUGGUGCGCUCGGUGCAGGUUCUUCUUUUUCAUGAAACCGGCCUCAUUCUCCCGUUCUUGCUAUCUUGUGCGAUUUUUUUUAUGCGAUUUGAUUCUUCUCUUUCUUUUCCUCUUGCAGGAUCGUCGGGGCUGCUCUCGUUCGUUCAGUUUGUCACUGUUCCUUUCGCUCUACUCCUGCUCAAGAGGCUUACUUGCAGUCCCUAAGCAAGGCUCUGUCGCACUACCACAAGGCCCAACUGCUGCUCCUCGACAUCACAGACUUCUCGCUGUGGGUCAGCAGCAAGAGAUCAAAUCCAGAGCAAGUAUGAGAGCUCCAGUAAGGCCAUCGUCCAGAACCAGUCCAUGUCUGAGACGACGUUUGGAAGGGUGUCCGAUUUCAUCGCACCUUUUGCAAUGUUUCCUAAGAUGGAUGAGCCUAGAGGUACCAGAACAAUACAAUUCAAUCUCUUCUCAUGUUUCUGCAAGAGUAGAUACAGUGUACUGUGUUGGAUAUGCUGAUUCGUUUUGA
Molecule: ribosomal RNA, 912 nt
Filed under: Triticum aestivum (bread wheat)
Lineage: Eukaryota; Viridiplantae; Streptophyta; Magnoliopsida; Poales; Poaceae
Description: partial small subunit ribosomal RNA
Source: RNAcentral